Molecule: ribosomal RNA, 500 nt
Filed under: uncultured bacterium
Lineage: Bacteria
Description: partial 16S ribosomal RNA
Rfam family: Bacterial small subunit ribosomal RNA
Source: RNAcentral
AUUGAACGCUGGCGGAAUGCUUUACACAUGCAAGUCGAACGGCAGCACGGACUUCGGUCUGGUGGCGAGUGGCGAACGGGUGAGUAAUAUAUCGGAACGUAUCCAAUAAUGGGGGAUAACGAGUCGAAAGAUUCGCUAAUACCGCAUACGCCCUACGGGGGAAAGCUGGGGACCUUCGGGCCUGGCGUUAAUGGAGCGGCCGAUAUCUGAUUAGCUAGUUGGUGAGGUAAAGGCUCACCAAGGCGACGAUCAGUAGCUGGUCUGAGAGGACGAACAGCCACACUGGAACUGAGACACGGUCCAGACUCCUACGGGAGGCAGAAGUGGGGAAUGUUGGACAAUGGGCGCAAGCCGGAUCCAGCCAUUCCGCGUGAGUGAAGAAGGCCUUCGGGUUGUAAAGCUCUUUCGCAAGGGAAGAAAACUUAGCCACUAACAUUGGUUGAGGUUGACGGUACCUUGAUAAGAAGCACCGGCUAACUACGUGCCAGCCGCCGCCGUAA